This 868-nucleotide long non-coding RNA is filed under the name Heterocephalus glaber (naked mole-rat). Its description in RNAcentral is "lncRNA (ENSHGLG00100052626.1)". Lineage: Eukaryota; Metazoa; Chordata; Mammalia; Rodentia; Bathyergidae. The record is from RNAcentral.
ACAGGAACAGGAAGACGCCUCGGCUCACAAGCCCCUGCCCUCCAGAAACUUCAGUGACAGAAUGGGAAAUUGCAGAAUUGAGGAUUGCUAUAAAACUUGAUGUGCGAUUGGGGCUAGUCCUGCCGCUGGGGACCCCAGCAGGAGGGCAGAGGUCCGCAGAGAGGUCAGGCCCCUCAUGCAGCCACAGCCGGACCUUCCUCGUGAGUUCAUCAGGAUACAGCCUGACACAUGCAUUGUUCUGAAAUCCAGGUCAACCGAGAACCAUCACUUUGGGUCGCCCAGCCAGUGACCGAGCAGCCAGCCAUAAACAGUGGAGACGGAACCCAGGCCGGCUGCAGGCUGGGAUCGGGCACUGAGACGGGACCGAAGCCCGAGCCAUCCGGAGCUGGAAGAAGAGCUCUUCCCCACAGCGGCCGAGAUGGGCAACCUGACAUCUCUGACACCACUGCUGACAACUGCCCUUCCUCGAGGUGACAACACACACGAGGAGGAGGCCGCCCGGUGGGGAGGCUUGUGCUGUCUCCGCUUCCUGUCUGUAUGAACACUUUCCGCAAAACUCACCGUGCGUUUUGCUGCAAUGAAAACCAAACAGUCUCGUUUUCUCCCCUCAGCCAGGCCAGAUGGCUCUGUCUUGUUCUUUCCCCCUCACUCACACCAGAGAUUUUGUUAUCGCUGUUUGUUCUGUUUUGCUUUUUGUGACACUGAGGAAUCUAACCCAGGGGCACCAGGGGUACUCUACCACCGAGCUACACACCCCGGCCCCUUUGCUAAUAUUUUUCAUUUUGAGACAGGGUCUCACUACAUCACCCAGGCAGGACUUGAACUUGCAAUGCCCCUGCCUCAGCCUCCCAAAGUGCUGAGAUUACAG